ACAGCCAUAUUACACUGAAACACCAGUUCUUGUCCAAUCACCAAAGUUAAGCAACCUUGUGCUUGGUCAGUACUUAAAUGGGCGACUGCUUAUGAAUAUCAGGUGGUGCAA
Non-coding RNA from Acanthosepion pharaonis, 111 nucleotides. NCBI's taxonomy places the organism in Eukaryota, Metazoa, Mollusca, Cephalopoda, Sepiida, Sepiidae. The record is from the annotation of a GenBank genome assembly.